ACCUGCGGAGGGAUCAUUACUGAGUUUACGCUCUACAACCCUUUGUGAACAUACCUAUAACUGUUGCUUCGGCGGGUAGGGUCUCCGCGACCCUCCCGGCCUCCCGCCUCCGGGCGGGUCGGCGCCCGCCGGAGGAUAACCAAACUCUGAUUUAACGACGUUUCUUCUGAGUGGUACAAGCAAAUAAUCAAAACUUUUAACAACGGAUCUCUUGGUUCUGGCAUCGAUGAAGAACGCAGCGAAAUGCGAUAAGUAAUGUGAAUUGCAGAAUUCAGUGAAUCAUCGAAUCUUUGAACGCACAUUGCGCCCGCCAGCAUUCUGGCGGGCAUGCCUGUUCGAGCGUCAUUUCAACCCUCAAGCUCUGCUUGGUGUUGGGGCCCUACAGCUGAUGUAGGCCCUCAAAGGUAGUGGCGGACCCUCCCGGAGCCUCCUUUGCGUAGUAACUUUACGUCUCGCACUGGGAUCCGGAGGGACUCUUGCCGUAAAACCCCCAAUUCUCCAAAGGUUGACCUCGGAUCAGGUAGGAAUACCCGCUGAACUUAAGCAUAUCAUA
This 553-nucleotide ribosomal RNA is filed under the name Colletotrichum gloeosporioides. RNAcentral describes it as "eukaryotic LSU rRNA". The stretch from base 192 to 345 matches the Rfam family "5.8S ribosomal RNA". The record is from RNAcentral. Lineage: Eukaryota; Fungi; Ascomycota; Sordariomycetes; Glomerellales; Glomerellaceae.